Molecule: ribosomal RNA, 275 nt
Filed under: uncultured bacterium
Lineage: Bacteria
Description: partial 16S ribosomal RNA
Rfam family: Bacterial small subunit ribosomal RNA
Source: RNAcentral
GCGUGGAUGAAGAAGGUUUUCGGAUUGUAAAGUCCUUUCGGCGGGGACGAUGAUGACGGUACCCGCAGAAGAAGCCCCGGCUAACUUCGUGCCAGCAGCCGCGGUAAUACGAAGGGGGCUAGCGUUGCUCGGAAUGACUGGGCGUAAAGGGCGCGUAGGCGGAAUGCUUUGUCGGGCGUGAAAUUCCAGGGCUUAACCUUGGGGCUGCGUUCGAGACGGGUAUUCUAGAGUUUGGAAGAGGGUCGUGGAAUUCCCAGUGUAGAGGUGAAAUUCGU